ACUUCCCAUAUCAGGAAACUGAGACUCUCAAUGCUUAAAUGACCUCCCAAACAACACAUUGCAGCAGUGUCUAUAUCACUCUUCUAACCUAGGACCAUCAGGUUCCAAAACUACACCACCGUGCAUUGCAUGCUCUGUGUUUACCCAAACUUGAGGACAGAUUCAUGAUCUCAUGUGCAUAGUCUUUCAGGGCCUUUGGGUGUGGCUUAUCUGCUUCUGGACACCUGAACUUGUGGGUACUGAGAGCUGCUAUUAUACUUCAGCAGUUCUUUUUGUUUGUGAAUUUAAGGCUCUCUUCACCAGUAAGCACAUGCUCUGGUGUGGAGGGCCGAUUAGGGCUGCUGAAUGCAUGCAGCUCUGGAGGAGGUGGUACCCAUGGAGUGGGCAUCCCAAGCCUGGGGCUAUGAUUGCAGCCAAGGAGGAGGCAGAGCUGUGGCCUCUGGAGUCUGUCCUUCUCUCCCUACCCAGCUAGUGCUGUGGGACCCAGAGGCCUUCCCAUCCUUCCUUCUCCCUGUCACACACCUCUUUCUCCUUCUAUCUAUGUUCAUUCUAUUGUGUAGGUGAAUGACAAAGGCCACUACUGCUUAGUUGUAAUGUCAGGAGGGUUUUUCCUCUAACUGACUCAGUGACUGAAAUUAUUCACAAUUCUCCUGUAAGUGGGUGCAACCCAGUUUCAAAUUCAUAGCUGUUUCCAGAGCCCCAGCAUAUUUUACUGCAGAAAGGACAGAUGCCUGCUCAAGUGUCUGAUGAAAACACUUAAGCUUUAUUGUUAUUUGACAUUCAUUAGGGAACCAUCUUCCGUAGGCAAAACACAAGACAUUUCUUUAGACAGGAGGCAUAAAAGGACUAAUGGUGGGUCAUAGGCCAGAUGGUAUGGAAACAAGACGAACUGAGCCCUGGAGCCAUACCAGCUUGGUCCUGCAUUGCCUUUGAGAAUGGAGAGGGGUGUGGGGAAGAAAGAAACAGAAAAUCCCAGGGCACCAGUGAGACUGCCAUUGCACAAACAUGGAGCCCUACACAAUGUGAGUACCAUUGUCCUCUAUCCCCUAACACCCUUUCCCAGCUAAGAUUCAGAAGAAGUGCUUAUUGAUUUAAUAAUCAGGAGAAAAGGACUGAAGUUUACUAGAGACCAGUUAUAGUCAGCAAACUCCUUGGAUUCUCACAGUACCCCAAAGAAGAAUGCUACUGUUCCAGCUUAUGGGGCAGGGCAGCGAGGCCAAGAGAAGGAAUGUCACCAAGGACAGUCAGCUCAUCAGUAAUGCUGCUGGUAUUGGAACCCAUGUCUGUUCAAGGCCACAUUCAUUUCCCUACACCUGUAGGAUUCUUAAUCUAAAUACUCAUUCUUACCUCCUUCUGGAGCAGAAUUUGGAGAGAACAUGGAGGAAAAAAGAGCAAGAACUCAUGACUAGAGGGCGGGGAAAUAGAAUCUGAAGUUGCCCUCUUUUUGCUAUAGGAGUCAGAGAUUCUUCCUGUUUCUGAACUGACUCUUGAGGUGUUGAUGGGGGCAAACGAGAAUGUGAGGAGGCAGAGAGAGGAAGAAGCUGUCUGCAAGCAUCAGUUCAGCACCCAAGUGAGCAGUCAUUCCUCCCCAGCUUCCACUUAGAUGAAGGAAGAAGAAGUAAGAUUGGCUUGCCACAGGGUGUUUUUCAAUUAGAUAUAUGGAUGGAGGACUUUACAGUGAGGAUUCCUUCUGAUUAAAUGUCACUGGCUCCUUUAAUCACAUCUCUUUGGGAAGUUGUUCUUGCUACACCAAAUGAGGUCAUGCAAUUUUGCAAUAGGAAAAUACCUAUUAAUCAGCCUGACGUAAUUUUGGGUCAAUUUGGCUUGAAGGUAAAGGCUUUUCCUGCAAGACUUCUCCAGACAUAUCCAUGCAGAGAUGCUAACAUUUUCUGCAUUGACCUACAUAUUUUUUAACCAUCUCUACUUAGUUGUUACUGCCUACUUAUUCUUUUGACCUGAACUUUCCCCUCCCUUUCCCCUACCUUACCCAGUACAUCCCAAGUUUACUAUAUGCCCUUAAAUGAAAGAAAUUUCCUUGAUGUUCAGAAAUUCAUUUCAAGUUUCUGAGGCCAUGCUCCUUCCUUUAUUGGGAAGAAGUGAAGGAAAACGCCCUCUCUGACACCCUUCCAGAGAGAAGGCUGCUCUAUUCUAAGACUCAUUAAACUCCAUCUGGUUGAACUCCUUUCAUGCCCUACAACCACCUUGUGAGGCCAGAUUGGAGACUCCUGUUGACCUUGGGUUGGUGGCAGCAACCUUUUGUUGACAACAUUGUUAUUUUGUCAGAUAAAGGAACUAAUGCUGGAGAAAGGGUUGUUUCCUCGCAAAUGGUAAGUGUAGAGAUGGGUAAACCCAGCUCUCUCUGGCUUCACACUUGUGCCCUUCAUCCUACUCUAACCAUGGUGACUUAGCACCAUAGCAAAGUGUUGCAAACUGGUCCUGUCUACAAAGCUGGUGCAGAGUGAGCAGUUUCAGCAGGUGAGGAAUCACUGCCAAACAUCAUCCAGAGUGUCCUAGAGGCAAUGGCCACAGUUCAGGAGAAAGG
Long non-coding RNA from Phyllostomus discolor (pale spear-nosed bat), 2542 nucleotides. RefSeq lists it as uncharacterized. The transcript is spliced from 3 exons. The record is from RefSeq and is a predicted model, not a curated record. NCBI's taxonomy places the organism in Eukaryota, Metazoa, Chordata, Mammalia, Chiroptera, Phyllostomidae.